CAAGACACUUUGGAUCUGUUUUUGAUCCACUCUAGAAUUUCAAGAGCAGGUCAAAACAGCCCCUAGUGGGUAUUUUCUUAUAUUUGGGUCCCUUUUGGGCCCUAAUUAUGUAAUAUCUAUCCAAACUAUAAAUGCUUGGUAGCUAGGCUUAUUUUCAUAGUUCUUGAUGAUAAUUUCACAUAAUGUAUUCAUGAGACUCCAUGGGAGUGUUUGAGUGCUUAGAAACACAUUUAUUGAUCCUUG
This 243-nucleotide long non-coding RNA is filed under the name Capsicum annuum. Its description in RNAcentral is "long non-coding RNA (CANN_LNC017081)". The record is from RNAcentral. Lineage: Eukaryota; Viridiplantae; Streptophyta; Magnoliopsida; Solanales; Solanaceae.